GAGAAUGGGAAGAGAGAAUGAAAGAGAGAAAGAAAAAAAAAAGAACAAAUGAAUCAUUAUUGAACAUGUGAACCAGAGCACAGGUUCGCUUGCGUAAUGGGUUGGAAUAAAUGCAAUGACAGGCGAGAUAUCUACUUGCUUUGUUGCCAACCACAGAAGCAUUACGAGAACAGACACGGGGACUAGUGGAGCGAUUCUUUCACCUCGGGAUGAAAGGUGGCGGAAUGUAGGUUACGGGAUGAUGCUUCAUUUAUGCGCCAAGUUUCUAAGAAUAGAACUUCCAUAAUCAAAUAUUUGUGCUACAACCUCGAACCCGCUACCCCCUGGGGUGGGUAUCUAAUGGUAUUCGAAAGAAACAACAGCGGCGCAACAACGCUAAGUGGCAAUACUCCAUCCACAAUAUCCAUUCGGGAGGUUUAAUUCUCUUCUUGACCGCACGAAACUAAACGGGGAAUCUGUCAUGGUUUCGUAGUGGGCCAUCUGCUUCUAUCCACUUGGGGAAUGCCGCCUUGCUUGCAGGCGACCAAUUGCGCCAAUAACCACUCCACCAUCCAGUACCGCCAUCACCACCGUAGCACAGAGUUACCGACGACAAUCAUAUCAAAAGCUUGGCACAGCAACCAAUAGAACCCUGGCGCACGACAACGGCGGGACGCAAAACGCGCAUGCAAAGCGACCGUGUGUGAGGUUUUAUGGAUGGAGUGUCAAGUGGUUUGCCCCGGGAGCAAUGGGAAGCAACAUGCAGCGGGCCCUUGCAGAUGAGAGACUAACACGUUCAACAACGGUACCUCGCCUUCCCCAAAAAAAAAAGACUAAUAAAACGACAAGGGAAAACGAUCUUCAAAAAGAAUAAAAAAAAACCGCGCCACGGCCUGUACCCACUCGUUAUGUGAUUAUUUUUAUUCCACCCGGAAACGAAAAAAGGCCCUCCAGAGAACGUUUUUCACCCUUUUUUUUUGGGGAUUUGAGCCCAUCCAUGACUGUCGGAAGUUUCGUUUUUUUUUGGAUGGUAUAAUUUUCAUUUGUACGGUGGAAAACGGACGAGUGUUAAAAAAAAGCAGGGAGAAAUGACUUAAAUUUGGUUGCACACGACCAGCAUUAUAAAAUGCUCAGGUGUCCACCGAACGCUCUGGAGAAAUAAAAAAAGUGAACGGAAGGCAAAGAAAAUGUUUUCAGUAUUGCUUAAAAUUAUGUCUAAAUAUUUAAAUUCCAACUAAACGCAAAAUAGCCUAAGCAAUUUCUAUUUUAAUCGUAUAAACCAGCUUAAAGUUAAUAAGAAUUGAAACUAGAAUAUUAAUUUUUCUAUUGAAGUUGUCUGAAAUCUGACGAUAAAAUAGGGUUUUCUUGAAAAAGUGAGAAAAUUAAAACCAUUUCUCGAUUCUUUUCAAACUCAAAUGGUAUUUCUAGAAGUAAAUGAGGAAUUUUCUCUACUUUUAAAGUUCAUUCUAUUCUUUCUUUUGUUUAAAUUUAGAGGGAUGCCAUGCAAAAGCUCCUAAAACGUGGGAAAAGUCCACAUCUACCUCGAAAUGUUGCAAUUUAACUUGAAAACAAUAAAAAAAUCGUUAAAAUUUUAUCAUUCCACAACAAAACCUUUGCCAUUUCAAAUACUAUUGCAUUCCAGCUUUUAUUUAAUUAAAUCACGUAACGUUUCAUAAUAAUCUCCACAAUUUCAAUUUUGAGCGAUUUCAUUUCAAUUUCUGAUUUCCAAUAUUCCGUGAUUCAUCGCUUCCAGCGUACGAAUGCAUUAUCAGACAAAAUAAACAAAGAAUAACACAUAUUUACCACAUUUCAUUCAAGCCACCCGAAAGGCAGAUUAGAAAUGCACCCGUAUACGUAAAACUGGGUGAGUAAACAUAAACUUGUGAAUGAUUGGAACAACCGGGUCAAGCGAGAGGAAAUUAAACACAAGUUUUGGACGAUAGUUCGGAAGAAGUUAAACACAAUAGGCAAGUCCAGUUUCAAUUUGCUAACCAACUCACCGCGUGACCGCAACAUGAACACUAUUGGGAAACAUAACUCGGAUGGUUUCCAACCAUUUGCUGAUCAUAAAUUUCGAUCGCUUUGCAAUGCGAUUGGUUCAAGCUGUAGCGGUUCCACACAACAUGUGCAAGAUAUCUAAAUUCCCACACAGCUUGAAGUUUCAACAUUUCUGUAGAACAUUCCACUUUGCGACCUUUGCAGGCGCGUAAAGUUUAGAGCUAUUUUGCAACAAGUUAAACAUCGACCAUUGGACACACCGACACUAAGAAGGUAGAUCGAAGCGAACAGCGUAAAGAGUGCUUUCAUUUCUUUUAUCACCAUUACCACUACUCCAAAGAGUACUCCAAAGAGUACAGAGUCAACAUUCCAUUUCCAGGAGGAUGGUUUUUUGGAAAAAUUACCCUUCAAAACAGUUUUCUCUUUCCUUAUCCAUUUCCCCAUUUUAUCUAUCGAUGGCAAUAAUUUGCCCCGAUACUGGAUCAUUACUCUUCGACACGUGUGUAUUUGUGCCCGUGUCCGGUUUUUCUCUACUGACCCUUUUUCCACGGAUUUGGUAGAACAACAACAAAAAAACCACCAGGAAAAAGCUAUACAUUCUUGCUCUUCCGAGGGACGGUUUCCACGUAUCGAUUGAAUUGCAUAUCCUUGGCAAAGGCACACAACAAGUAGACCACUAACACAGCAAAGGAGUAACUUUAAACCACAGGAUUUUUAAUCGCCUUCCUUUACCCUGUGUUCGUUUCAGGUGGGGGCAGAGUUCGUGAAACUUUGCUUUAAAAGGGAAAAGUGGUUGAAGUGCUUUAAAGUUACAUGCUGUAUGUAUGCUCAGUUGGACAGCUUGGGGGAAAAUUUAAUUUUCCAACAAAUUGCAGGAUGCAUACCAGGCCAUAUGCUACGAAGCUUGCUCAAGUGCUUCGCAUACCAAAGUGACCAAAGUGAGCGUGACGCUAGCGAUCGUCGAAAAGUUUGAUAUCGAAGAAAUUCCAACAGACUAAACUGAGAAUUUCGAGGAUUUUUCUAUGUCCCAGAAUAAGAAUCUUUCGCAGAUUUUUAAUUUCAGAUUGCUCACUAUCGUGUUAAACCACGAUCGCUCGUCUAACUGAGCUUAGUGAGCGUGAGCUUUAUAUCUCUUUCGAGUCACCGAUUAAGUAUUCCUAGUUCGAACUCACUCAAGAUCAAUAGAUCAAAGCUAUGAUUCUCGAAGAUCCUAUCUUUAUCAUCGUGUCUUUCCUAUCUUCAAUUUCUAUACACAUUUUCCCAACACAGAGUUUUCCCUUAUUCAUAAUCUUUAUUUAAACUUAAAGUUAGUUUAGAUUUAAAUUUGCAAAAC
Molecule: long non-coding RNA, 3310 nt
Organism: Anopheles funestus (African malaria mosquito)
Lineage: Eukaryota; Metazoa; Arthropoda; Insecta; Diptera; Culicidae
Exons: 2
Source: RefSeq, a predicted model, not a curated record